RNAcentral lists this ribosomal RNA (47 nucleotides) under Cladobotryum cubitense. RNAcentral describes it as "partial 28S ribosomal RNA". The record is from RNAcentral. Lineage: Eukaryota; Fungi; Ascomycota; Sordariomycetes; Hypocreales; Hypocreaceae. RNAcentral also lists the same sequence under 2 other names.
CCUCGGAUCAGGUAGGAAUACCCGCUGAACUUAAGCAUAUCAAUAAG